This 45-nucleotide non-coding RNA is filed under the name Trichobilharzia regenti. Lineage: Eukaryota; Metazoa; Platyhelminthes; Trematoda; Strigeidida; Schistosomatidae. The record is from RNAcentral.
AUUCAGCUGACGAGCCCAAAACAGGACGAAAUGUGUGUUAUGGAU